CUUGGGAUACCACCCUUGUAGUACUGGGACUCUAACCAUAGGCCAUGAAUCUGGUCUUGGGACACUGUCAGGUGGGCAGUUUGACUGGGGCGGUCGCCUCCCAAAAGGGAACGGAGGCGCUCAAAGGUUCUCUCAGUACGGUCGGAAAUCGUACGUAGAGUGUAAAGGCAAAAGAGAGCUUGAUUGCAAGACAUACAGGUCGAGCAAGGAUGAAAAUCGGACUUAGUGAUCCGGUG
RNAcentral lists this ribosomal RNA (236 nucleotides) under Clostridioides difficile. Its description in RNAcentral is "partial 23S ribosomal RNA". It matches the Rfam family "Bacterial large subunit ribosomal RNA", at positions 2191 to 2425 of the family's 2925-position model. Lineage: Bacteria; Bacillati; Bacillota; Clostridia; Peptostreptococcales; Peptostreptococcaceae. The record is from RNAcentral.